AGAAGCUUGCUUCUCUUGAGAGCGGCGGACGGGUGAGUAAUGCCUAGGAAUCUGCCUGGUAGUGGGGGAUAACGUUCGGAAACGGACGCUAAUACCGCAUACGUCCUACGGGAGAAAGCAGGGGACCUUCGGGCCUUGCGCUAUCAGAUGAGCCUAGGUCGGAUUAGCUAGUUGGUGGGGUAAUGGCUCACCAAGGCGACGAUCCGUAACUGGUCUGAGAGGAUGAUCAGUCACACUGGAACUGAGACACGGUCCAGACUCCUACGGGAGGCAGCAGUGGGGAAUAUUGGACAAUGGGCGAAAGCCUGAUCCAGCCAUGCCGCGUGUGUGAAGAAGGUCUUCGGAUUGUAAAGCACUUUAAGUUGGGAGGAAGGGCCNUUACCUAAUACGUGAUGGUUUUGACGUUACCGACAGAAUAAGCACCGGCUAACUCUGUGCCAGCAGCCGCGGUAAUACAGAGGGUGCAAGCGUCAAUCGGAAUUACUGGGCGUAAAGCGCGCGUAGGUGGUUUGUUAAGUUGGAUGUGAAAUCCCCGGGCUCAACCUGGGAACUGCAUUCAAAACUGACUGACUACAGUAUGGUAGAGGGUGNUGGAAUUCCUGUGUUACCGGUGAAAUGCGUAAUAUA
This 627-nucleotide ribosomal RNA is filed under the name Pseudomonas marginalis. RNAcentral's name for it is "bacterial SSU rRNA". It matches the Rfam family "Bacterial small subunit ribosomal RNA", at positions 74 to 697 of the family's 1533-position model. Lineage: Bacteria; Pseudomonadati; Pseudomonadota; Gammaproteobacteria; Pseudomonadales; Pseudomonadaceae. The record is from RNAcentral.